RNAcentral lists this ribosomal RNA (204 nucleotides) under uncultured Streptococcus sp. Its description in RNAcentral is "partial 16S ribosomal RNA". It matches the Rfam family "Bacterial small subunit ribosomal RNA", at positions 1182 to 1382 of the family's 1533-position model. Lineage: Bacteria; Bacillati; Bacillota; Bacilli; Lactobacillales; Streptococcaceae. The record is from RNAcentral.
ACGUCAAAUCAUCAUGCCCCUUAUGACCUGGGCUACACACGUGCUACAAUGGUUGGUACAACGAGUUGCGAGUCGGUGACGGGCGAGCUAACUACUCUUAAAGCCAAUCUCAGUUCGGAUUGUAGGCUGCAACUCGCCUACAUGAAGUCGGAAUCGCUAGUAAUCGCGGAUCAGCACGCCGCGGUGAAUACGUUCCCGGGCCUU